AGUGAACGCUGGCGGUAGGCCUAACACAUGCAAGUCGAACGGCAGCACAGUAAGAGCUUGCUCUUACGGGUGGCGAGUGGCGGACGGGUGAGGAAUACAUCGGAAUCUACUUUUUCGUGGGGGAUAACGUAGGGAAACUUACGCUAAUACAGCAUACGACCUACGGGUGAAAGCAGGGGAUCUUCGGACCUUGCGCGAUUGAAUGAGCCGAUGUCGGAUUAGCUAGUUGGCGGGGUAAAGGCCCACCAAGGCGACGAUCCGUAGCUGGUCUGAGAGGGUGAUCAGCCACACUGGAACUGAGACACGGUCCAGACUCCUACGGGAGGCAGCAGUGGGGAAUAUUGGACAAUGGGCGCAAGCCUGAUCCAGCCAUACCGCGUGGGUGAAGAAGGCCUUCGGGUUGUAAAGCCCUUUUGUUGGGAAAGAAAAGCAGCAGGUUAAUACCCCGCUGUUCUGACGGUACCCAAAGAAUAAGCACCGGCUAACUUCGUG
This 492-nucleotide ribosomal RNA is filed under the name uncultured bacterium. Its description in RNAcentral is "partial 16S ribosomal RNA". It matches the Rfam family "Bacterial small subunit ribosomal RNA", at positions 29 to 507 of the family's 1533-position model. The record is from RNAcentral.